CUUUGUUCUGUGUUUGAACCCCCCUUUUUUUAAAUGGCUGGAUCCGCCCCUGCUCAUUGCUGUCUGGCAGUACUUUGGUCCCUCUGGAAUAUCCCUACUUACAAGUUUUUAUAUAAUUAACAGUUAAUUUGUCCAUUAUGAUUGACGAUUAAGCUCCUGUAAUGACAGCCAAAAAAGGAUAUUAUUUACAGUUUUAGGGGAAUAUAAGUAAGGGG
RNAcentral lists this long non-coding RNA (215 nucleotides) under Mytilus galloprovincialis (Mediterranean mussel). Lineage: Eukaryota; Metazoa; Mollusca; Bivalvia; Mytilida; Mytilidae. The record is from RNAcentral.